UACGGAGGGUGCAAGCGUUAUCCGGAUUCACUGGGUUUAAAGGGUGCGUAGGUGGGUUGGUAAGUCAGUGGUGAAAUCUCCGAGCUUAACUUGGAAACUGCCAUUGAUACUAUCAGUCUUGAAUAUUGUGGAGGUCAGCGGAAUAUGUCAUGUAGCGGUGAAAUGCUUAGAUAUGACAUAGAACACCAAUUGCGAAGGCAGCUGGCUGCACAUAUAUUGACACUGAGGCACGAAAGCGUGGGGAUCAAACAGG
This 253-nucleotide ribosomal RNA is filed under the name uncultured bacterium. Its description in RNAcentral is "partial 16S ribosomal RNA". It matches the Rfam family "Bacterial small subunit ribosomal RNA", at positions 524 to 776 of the family's 1533-position model. The record is from RNAcentral.